GACGAACGCUGGCGGCGUGCCUAAUACAUGCAAGUAGAACGCUGAAGGAGGAGCUUGCUUCUCUGGAUGAGUUGCGAACGGGUGAGUAACGCGUGGGUAACCUGCCUGGUAGUGGGGGAUAACUAUUGGAAACGAUAGCUAAUACCGCAUAAUAUUGACUAUUGCAUGAUAGUCAGUUGAAAGGUGCAACUGCACCACUACCAGAUGGACCUGCGUUGUAUUAGCUAGUUGGUGGGGUAACGGCUCACCAAGGCGACGAUACAUAGCCGACCUGAGAGGGUGAUCGGCCACACUGGGACUGAGACACGGCCCAGACUCCUACGGGAGGCAGCAGUAGGGAAUCUUCGGCAAUGGACGGAAGUCUGACCGAGCAACGCCGCGUGAGUGAAGAAGGUUUUCGGAUCGUAAAGCUCUGUUGUAAGAGAAGAACGAGUGUGAGAGUGGAAAGCUCACACUGUGACGGUAUCUUACCAGAAAGGGACGGCUAACUACGUG
Molecule: ribosomal RNA, 495 nt
Filed under: uncultured bacterium
Lineage: Bacteria
Description: partial 16S ribosomal RNA
Rfam family: Bacterial small subunit ribosomal RNA
Source: RNAcentral